Molecule: long non-coding RNA, 1516 nt
Organism: Dreissena polymorpha
Lineage: Eukaryota; Metazoa; Mollusca; Bivalvia; Myida; Dreissenidae
Exons: 4
Source: RefSeq, a predicted model, not a curated record
AAGAUGGUUCAGACAUAAACAAGUGCAAGCGCUAAGAAAAGACUAAAAAACAAGAGAUGCAAGGUACAUGUGUAAUAAAAGGGAAAGGAUACUAGACAUUGGUAUUCAGUGUGAUCGAUGGAGAAGACUGGGAUUGAAACGGACGAGAAAAUGAUGGAAAUAUUGAUCGAUGCAACUACUUCUGAACUAGAGAGCUUCAACAAUCAUCUUUUGAUGUAUGCUCCAAAGCGAAAUGCUUUCAGCUAUGCUGUUUAUAGAUGCAGGUGUCAGUUAGCAGCAAUAGAUUAUUCAUAACACUUGAAUCGUCCUGUUUUGUUGGACAAAGAAGGAAAUUAGAGGGGAAAGAGUGCACUCAAAAGCUGCUGGUAAUUGGAGCACAAGACCUAUGAAAAAACCCAAGGAGUAUUCAUACAUAACAGGUUUGAUCACUGAAGUUACAAAUUAAUUCACCAUAGGCAAGAGAAGAAUAAGUGGCAAAUGUGAACAGCUGUCUGAAGACCCAGAAAGAAUUAGGUCAACUAUAGCCCCUGUCACCCCUCCACCUACAUCGAUACUUAGUGAUCAGCAUGUCUCUAGAUUGAGAAAAGCGAAAAAAAUGAAUAGUUGCCCAAGACGUGUUUGAUAUUCAUUUGAAGUUGAAGCAGAAGUUAUCUUUGUUAGAUAACUAUUAAGUUUAACAUCUUUAGUGUUAAUAUAAUUUUAGAAGUGUUUUGAAAAUGUACAAUCUUACAUUAUGUUGUAAAUAAUGAAUGCUCUUGGUUGUACAAUGCAAUGACAUUUUUCAGGAAGUUUUAAUAUUGAAUUUAGCAUAAAAUAUUUUUUUAUGUCCCCCACUAUAGUAGUGAGAGACAUAUUGUUUUUGCCCUGUCUGUUGGUUGGUCUGUUGGUUGGUUUGCGCCAAUUUUAACAUUUUGCAAUAACUUUUGCUAUAUUGAAGAUAGCAACUUCAUAUUUGGCAUGCAUGUGUAUCUCAUGAAGCUGCACAUUUUUAGUGGUGAAAGGUCAAGGUCAUCCUUCAAGGUCAGAGGUCAAAUAUAUGUGGCCCAAAUCGCUUAUUUUAUGAAUACUUUUGCAAUAUUGAAGAUAGCAACUUGAUAUUUGGCAUGCGUGUGUAUCUCAUGGAGCUGCACAUUUUGAGUGGUGAAAGAUCAAGGUCAUCCUUCAAGGUCAAAUAUAUGGGUCAAAAUUGCUCAUGUAAUGUCACUUCUGCAAUAUUGAAGCUAGCAAUUUUAUAUUUGAAAUGCAUGUGUAUCUCAAGGAGCUGCACAUUUUGAGUGUUGAAGGGUCAAGGUCAUGGUCAUCCUUCAAGGUCAAACGUCAUAAUAGGGGGACAUUGUGUUUAACAAACACAUCUUGUUUAUUUUUAAUAUAUUUUGUGCAAUUUUUAUCAAUACAUUUUUUACACAUAUAAAGAACACAAUUUUUCUUACAAAAAGUUUCGUUUUUUAUUUGAUUAUUGAUAUGUGUUUUUCAUUGUCUUCUUUAUAGCCUGUAUUUAAUAAACCAUUGUAGUCAA